ACCACUAUAUACCCCUGGGGAGUGACGGAUUACAAUUAUUACAAUCACUCGACCAUUGAGAAGCCCCUCAAUUCGAAUCACGUCAGUUUGACAACAGUUGUCAUUUCCAUUUUUGUUUACCUCUGAUGGUGUUUCUGAUUCAAAAAUCAGUAGAUCACCGAAAUCGACCACAACAAAUUUCGUUAAUUUAAAUAGCAGUGCGGUUGGAAUUGCAAAUGCCUUGUAGGUAUUAUAUGCCGACAAAAAUGAACAUGGAUACUACAUGGUUCGGAGCAGCAAAGAUCCGGAGGUGAUCCGACGGUGCGCCUCGGUAUCGGAAAGUGGUGUCACCGGCAUGUGCAACUGGGGCGUCUACGAGAACGGGGUCUACUGGGAGGAGUGCUAUUGUGCCCAGGAUGACUGCAACCAUGCGGCGAAAUCUGUCACCAUUUCGGCUGUGAGCCUUGUGUGCCUUAUAGGUUUAAGUUUCAUGUUCAGACAAAUGUUCGCCUAACGGUUUCUCUGUUAAAUACAAACAUACAAACUGAAAGCUAACAAAA
Armigeres subalbatus is the source of this 539-nucleotide long non-coding RNA. RefSeq lists it as uncharacterized. The record is from RefSeq and is a predicted model, not a curated record. The transcript is spliced from 2 exons. NCBI's taxonomy places the organism in Eukaryota, Metazoa, Arthropoda, Insecta, Diptera, Culicidae.